Molecule: non-coding RNA, 148 nt
Filed under: Nomascus leucogenys (northern white-cheeked gibbon)
Lineage: Eukaryota; Metazoa; Chordata; Mammalia; Primates; Hylobatidae
Source: Rfam by way of RNAcentral
GCUGGGCGUGGUGGCACAUGCCUGUAAUCCCAGCUACUUGGGAGGCUGAGGCAGGAGAAUUGCUUGAACUCAGGAGGUGGAGGUUGCAGUGAGCCGAGGUUGCAACACUGCAUCCCAGCCUGGGUAACAGAGUGAGACUCUGUCUCAA